CUUCUUUUUCCCCGGAGCUUGCUCCCCGGAAAAAGAAGAGUGGCGAACGGGUGAGUAACACGUGGGUAACCUGCCCAUCAGAAGGGGAUAACACUUGGAAACAGGUGCUAAUACCGUAUAACAAUCGAAACCGCAUGGUUUUGAUUUGAAAGGCGCUUUCGGGUGUCGCUGAUGGAUGGACCCGCGGUGCAUUAGCUAGUUGGUGAGGUAACGGCUCACCAAGGCCACGAUGCAUAGCCGACCUGAGAGGGUGAUCGGCCACAUUGGGACUGAGACACGGCCCAAACUCCUACGGGAGGCAGCAGUAGGGAAUCUUCGGCAAUGGACGAAAGUCUGACCGAGCAACGCCGCGUGAGUGAAGAAGGUUUUCGGAUCGUAAAACUCUGUUGUUAGAGAAGAACAAGGAUGAGAGUAACUGUUCAUCCCUUGACGGUAUCUAACCAGAAAGCCACGGCUAACUACGUGCCAGCAGCCGCGGUAAUACGUAGGUGGCAAGCGUUGUCCGGAUUUAUUGGGCGUAAAGCGAGCGCAGGCGGUUUCUUAAGUCUGAUGUGAAAGCCCCCGGCUCAACCGGGGAGGGUCAUUGGAAACUGGGAGACUUGAGUGCAGAAGAGGAGAGUGGAAUUCCAUGUGUAGCGGUGAAAUGCGUAGAUAUAUGGAGGAACACCAGUGGCGAAGGCGGCUCUCUGGUCUGUAACUGACGCUGAGGCUCGAAAGCGUGGGGAGCAAACAGGAUUAGAUACCCUGGUAGUCCACGCCGUAAACGAUGAGUGCUAAGUGUUGGAGGGUUUCCGCCCUUCAGUGCUGCAGCUAACGCAUUAAGCACUCCGCCUGGGGAGUACGACCGCAAGGUUGAAACUCAAAGGAAUUGACGGGGGCCCGCACAAGCGGUGGAGCAUGUGGUUUAAUUCGAAGCAACGCGAAGAACCUUACCAGGUCUUGACAUCCUUUGACCACUCUAGAGAUAGAGCUUCCCCUUCGGGGGCAAAGUGACAGGUGGUGCAUGGUUGUCGUCAGCUCGUGUCGUGAGAUGUUGGGUUAAGUCCCGCAACGAGCGCAACC
Molecule: ribosomal RNA, 1062 nt
Filed under: bacterium P2E9
Lineage: Bacteria
Description: bacterial SSU rRNA
Rfam family: Bacterial small subunit ribosomal RNA
Source: RNAcentral